This is a regulatory RNA element of 104 nucleotides. It matches the Rfam family "mraW RNA". The record is from Rfam.
GCAGGCCCGUGCAGUGCGGCCUCUGCCCGAACCGGCCCUGACGUACUUCCCCGACGUCAGGUUCGUGCUCUCGGACAGGGACCUCACUGCAGGGGCCGCCCCGA